Molecule: ribosomal RNA, 457 nt
Filed under: Planctomycetaceae bacterium
Lineage: Bacteria; Pseudomonadati; Planctomycetota; Planctomycetia; Planctomycetales; Planctomycetaceae
Description: partial 23S ribosomal RNA
Rfam family: Bacterial large subunit ribosomal RNA
Source: RNAcentral
GAUCAAGCGCGAUAAGGGCGUUUGGUGGAUGCCUUGGCAGCAAGAGGCGAUGAAGGACGUGAUACCCUGCGAUAAGCCAUGGGGAGCCGGGAAUAGGCUUUGAUCCAUGGAUCUCCGAAUGGGGAAACCCACCUGACAGCUCAUUAUAAUUACCUCGGUAGUUUAUAAUGGACUGAAACAGGUACUUUUACCCUGAAUACAUAGGGGUUUAAGAGCGAACCCGGGGAACUGAAACAUCUAAGUACCCGGAGGAAAGGAAAUCAAUAGAGACUCCGCUAGUAGUGGCGAGCGAACGCGGACCAGCCGAGCCAUGAGAAUGACCAGAACCGUUUGGAAAGACGGGCCAUAGUGGGUGACAGCCCCGUAUGGGAAGUUCAAUUGGACGUAUUAAGUAGGGCGGGACACGUGAAAUCCUGUCUGAAGAUCGGGGGACCACCCCCGAAGGCUAAGUACUCCU